CCUACGGGCGGCAGCAGUGAGGAAUAUUGGUCAAUGGGCGAGAGCCUGAACCAGCCAAGUCGCGUGAGGGAAGACGGUCCUAUGGAUUGUAAACCUCUUUUGUCGGGGAGCAAAAAGGCCUCGUGAGGCCACAAGUGAGAGUACCCGAAGAAAAAGCAUCGUCUAACUCCGUGCCAGCCGCCGCGGUAAUAGGGAGUAUGCGAGCGUUCUCCGGUUUUAGUGGGUUUAAAGGGGGCGUAGGGGGACUGGAAAGUCAGCGGUAAAAUCGAGAGGCUCCACCUCUUUCCGCCGUUGAAACUGUCGGGCUGGAGUGGGAGAGAAGUAUGAGGAAUGCGUGGUGUAGCGGUGAAAUGCAUAGAUAUCACGCAGAACUCCGAUUGCGAAGGCAGCAUACCGGCGCCCGACUGACGCUGAGGCACGAAAGCGUGGGUAUCGAACAGGAUUAGAUACCCCGGUAGUC
This 460-nucleotide ribosomal RNA is filed under the name uncultured bacterium. Its description in RNAcentral is "partial 16S ribosomal RNA". It matches the Rfam family "Bacterial small subunit ribosomal RNA", at positions 338 to 795 of the family's 1533-position model. The record is from RNAcentral.